GGACUACUGGGGUUUCUAAUCCUGUUUGCUCCCCACGCUUUCGCGCAUCAGCGUCAGUCUCGGUCCAGUGAGCCGCCUUCGCCACCGGUGUUCUUCCCAAUAUCUACGAAUUUCACCUCUACACUGGGAAUUCCACUCACCUCUCCCGAACUCAAGCAUCGGAGUAUCAAGCGCAAUUCCCAGGUUGAGCCCGGGGCUUUCACGCCUGACUUCCAAUACCGCCUACGCGCCCUUUACGCCCAGUAAUUCCGAACAACGCUAGCCCCCUUCGUAUUACCGCGGCUGCUGGCAC
RNAcentral lists this ribosomal RNA (292 nucleotides) under uncultured Alphaproteobacteria bacterium. Its description in RNAcentral is "partial 16S ribosomal RNA". Lineage: Bacteria; Pseudomonadati; Pseudomonadota; Alphaproteobacteria. The record is from RNAcentral.